This is a long non-coding RNA of Macrobrachium nipponense, 1295 nucleotides long. RefSeq lists it as uncharacterized. Lineage: Eukaryota; Metazoa; Arthropoda; Malacostraca; Decapoda; Palaemonidae. The record is from RefSeq and is a predicted model, not a curated record. The transcript has 2 exons.
GUCACAAGCGGCUGAUUUUUAUCGUCAACAACGAAGAUGUUUACUACGUUUCUGUUUCAGUAUUAGCGAUUCCUUCAUAUAGCGUGUUUUGCUUUCCGGCGAGUAGGAGCUGUAUAGGUUCAUGAAAUAUUUUGCGAGAUUGGUUUACUUUGAGGUUAUGCGGUUGAACAAUGUCUUCAAGACCUCUUGCUUAGUCUUGCACCUAUUCUUUGGAAGAAGACUUGAUGAUACGUUGAAGGUUAUAUAGUUCUACUUUUAAGUAUUCAGGGGCAACUGCUCGGAAAGUCUUCACCUACCCCUUUGAAUAUCUUCAAAACUAGAAUAUAAAUUUUCUAUUGUGCUAAAGUAAUUUCUUAUUUAUUUGAUAGUAUUGUUUGUCUGUUACUAAUUUUAAAUGGCUCUUCUUGGAAGCUUUAACUUAAUGAAUGUCAGCUUGUUUUAGUGCCUACAUGUAAGCUUUUAGUUUAAAUUUUAGAUAUUUAGCAGUUGAGACCAUUAAAUAAAUGUAACUAAGCUUUUUGACUUUUUGUCCAUUGGAAGUGUUCUUUUUAAGCCUUUCGAUAGUAUGGCAGUACGUAUUUGAAUACUUCAUUAUGUGCUGUUAAUUAAGAGUAAUUAGAAGAAAUUAAGAUUAACUUAGUGUAAUUAAGGUAUCAAUUUUUAAAAUAGUAUCUCGGUACCUCAUUAGCCAUUUGCUAUUAUGCCAGAAACUAGAUUCUUGAACCUUCCAGUAGUAUGUCAUUAUUGUAGUGGGGAUUUAUUUCCUAAUGGUAAUAUGCAAUUUAGUUAGAUAAGUAAAGGUGUAAAUUGAAAAGGUGGAAAUUGUUAAUAUAGUACUAAAAGAUAUGGCGGUAUAUUUUCGGUUUCUUUGCAUUAUUUAUUUGGCAAGACAAUAUGGAAAUUACCUAAAGCCUUACAGUAGUAUGGCGGUAUAUCUCAAUAGCGAAGUACUAUUUAAUUGUGCAAGAAACGGGAGGUAUUUUUAUCUUGAGCCUGUAUGAAGUGCACUAAGCUAAAAACGUAUCAAACUACUUUACAAUAGUAUGAGGGUAUUUCUCAUUGGCAUUGUACUAUUGACAUAAGCAAAAAACGGAAGGUGGAAAUGUUAGUCUUACUUUACAGUUGUGUGAAGGUACUAAUCAUUAGCAAUGACUUUUUUCGCAUUUUUUUACGCAGACUAAAGGUAUAUUUUGAUGGUUAUAAUUUAUUUGUACAAUCUAAAAGGUAGCUGAAACUACACUUAAUCUCUUACAAUUAAGUAAUGUAAUGAAAUGAGUUAUCUUUGUUAAAGCUUC